AAUUAGGGUUCGAUUCCGGAGAGGGAGCCUGAGAAACGGCUACCACAUCCAAGGAAGGCAGCAGGCGCGCAAAUUACCCAAUCCCGAUACGGGGAGGUAGUGACAAUAAAUAGCAAUACAGGGCUCUUAUGGGUCUUGUAAUUGGAAUGAGUACAAUUUAAAUCCCUUAACGAGGAACAAUUGGAGGGCAAGUCUGGUGCCAGCAGCCGCGGUAAUUCCAGCUCCAAUAGCGUAUAUUAAAGUUGUUGCAGUUAAAAAGCUCGUAGUUGAAUUUCGGGGUUCUACUGUUGGUCGGGCAAUUGUCUGUACUGAUGUGUAGAAUUUCUACCUUCUGGAGAACCAUCAUGUUAUUAAUUUAGCGUGGUGGGAAACCAGAACCUUUACCUUGAAAAAAUUAGAGUGUUCAAAGCAGGCUUACGUCUGAAUACAUUAGCAUGGAAUAAUAAAAUAGGACGGUGGUCCUGUUUUGUUGGUUUCUGAAUCACCGUAAUGAUUAAUAGGGAUAGUUGGGGGCAUUAGUAUUCAAUUGUCAGAGGUGAAAUUCUUGGACUUAUUGAAGACUAACUUCUGCGAAAGCAUUUGCCAAGGAUGUUUUCAUUAAUCAAGAACGAAAGUUAGGGGAUCGAAGACGAUCAGAUACCGUCGUAGUCUUAACCAUAAACUAUGCCGACUAGGGAUCGGACGAUGUUA
This 690-nucleotide ribosomal RNA is filed under the name uncultured Gigaspora. RNAcentral describes it as "SSU rRNA". It matches the Rfam family "Eukaryotic small subunit ribosomal RNA", at positions 368 to 1065 of the family's 1831-position model. The record is from RNAcentral. Lineage: Eukaryota; Fungi; Glomeromycota; Glomeromycetes; Diversisporales; Gigasporaceae.